RNAcentral lists this non-coding RNA (29 nucleotides) under Bombyx mori (domestic silkworm). Lineage: Eukaryota; Metazoa; Arthropoda; Insecta; Lepidoptera; Bombycidae. The record is from RNAcentral.
UACUUUACCAAUAGGUAAAUCGGAUGUGA